CAAUUAAGAUCUUAAAUUACAAUGAUCAAUCAAAAUAGGAAGAGAAGAAAAGGAAUAUGUUUGUAAAACUAAGCUCCACUCGAGCAAAGAAUGAAAGAAAAAAAGACUUAAUCUUGAGAAUAGAGUGUUCACAUCCCUCAAAACUUCUAGCAUUCAGUUUUCAACUAAAUUUAUGAAUAUGCUACUUCUUAAUCACCUAAAAUUCAAUACCAUAGAGUAUAACUAGCCUAAUAGUAGUCCAAUAAAAUUUUCCCCCAAGAAUCUUUUGAUUUAUUUAUGGAUAUGGUCUACUCUUCAACUGUACGGGGGUUGGGUCCCAAUAAGGUUUGUUGGAAGCCAGCAAGGAGUAGAAAUUUGACGUUAGAGGAUUCUAUCUUUCUUUCUACCCUCCUACUCUCUUAUCCUUCCCUUGGAGAAUGAUAUGGCAAUCGAAGGUUCCUCCAAGGUGUUCUUCUUGUAUAGAGUAGCCUUUCGUUUUGUAUCAUUCUUACUUAUCAAAAAAAAAAAAAAAAAGGGUUCCUCCAAGGGUAGCUUUCUUUUCGACUGUACGGGGGUUGGGUCCCAAUAAGGUUUGUUGGAAGCCAGCAAGGAGUAGAGGUUUUGACGUUAGAGGAUUCUAUCUUUCUUUCUACCCUCCUACUCUCUUAUCCUUCCCUUGGAGAAUGAUAUGGCAAUCGAAGGUUCCUCCAAGGGUAGCUUUCUUUUCAUGGUCUUCUUCCUUAGGUAAGAUUUUAACAACAAAUAACCUUCGCAAAAGAUGUGUGCUAGUUCUUGAUUGGUACUAUAUGUGUAAGAGUUGUGGGGAGUCAACGGAUCAUCUUCUGCUUCAUUGCCUCAUAGCUUGUGAGUUGUGGUUGUUGGUGUUCUGUUUGUUUGGAAUCCACUGGGUUAUGCCUCACAAGGCUAUUGAGUUGUUUGAAUCUUGGCAAGGUAAGUUUGGACAACAUCUCAACAUAGAUUUUUGGAGACUUGUGCCUCAUUGCUUGAUAUGGUGUAUUUGGCGUGAAAGGAAUGCUAGAAGUUUUGAGAGAUGUGAACGUUCUACGCUAGAUAUUAAGUCUUGUUUUUUGCACACUCUCCUUGAUUGGAGUGUGGUUUUUUGUCAUCUUUCUUGUUCUUCCAUUACUGUUUUACUUAAUCGUUGUAAUUUUGGUUCCUGAUUUGUGCUCUCAUAGUACAUUCCCAAUAUACUCGGGUUGACUGUUUUCUUUUAUUUAAUAAAAUUUUACGUUACCUAUCCAAAAAAAAAAAAA
Quercus lobata is the source of this 1253-nucleotide long non-coding RNA. RefSeq lists it as uncharacterized. NCBI's taxonomy places the organism in Eukaryota, Viridiplantae, Streptophyta, Magnoliopsida, Fagales, Fagaceae. The record is from RefSeq and is a predicted model, not a curated record. The transcript has 2 exons.